Molecule: ribosomal RNA, 579 nt
Filed under: uncultured bacterium
Lineage: Bacteria
Description: bacterial SSU rRNA
Rfam family: Bacterial small subunit ribosomal RNA
Source: RNAcentral
CCUACGGGAGGCAGCAGUAAGGAAUAUUGGUCAAUGGACGCAAGUCUGAACCAGCCAUGCCGCGUGAAGGAUUAAGGCCCUCUGGGUUGUAAACUUCUUUUAUAGGGGACGAAAAAAGGGCAUUCUUGCUCACUUGACGGUACCCUAGGAAUAAGCACCGGCUAACUCCGUGCCAGCAGCCGCGGUAAUACGGAGGGUGCAAGCGUUAUCCGGAUUUACUGGGUUUAAAGGGUGCGUAGGUGGGUUGGUAAGUCAGUGGUGAAAUCUUCGAGCUUAACUCGGAAACUGCCAUUGAUACUAUCAAUCUUGAAUCAUCUAGAGGUAAGCGGAAUAUGUCAUGUAGCGGUGAAAUGCUUAGAUAUGACAUAGAACACCAAUUGCGAAGGCAGCUUACUAUGGAUGUAUUGACACUGAGGCACGAAAGCGUGGGGAUCAAACAGGAUUAGAUACCCUGGUAGUCCACGCCCUAAACGAUGGAUACUCGACAUUUGUGAUAUACUAUAAGUGUCUGAGCGAAAGCAUUAAGUAUCCACCUGGGAAGUAACGACCGCAAGGUUGAAACUUCAAAUGAAUUGACGG